RNAcentral lists this ribosomal RNA (425 nucleotides) under uncultured bacterium. Its description in RNAcentral is "bacterial SSU rRNA". It matches the Rfam family "Bacterial small subunit ribosomal RNA", at positions 355 to 776 of the family's 1533-position model. The record is from RNAcentral.
UGGGGAAUAUUGCGCAAUGGGCGAAAGCCUGACGCAGCCACGCCGCGUGAGCGAUGAAGGCCUUCGGGUCGUAAAGCUCUGUGGGGAGAGAAGAAUAAAGCCUGUGAAGAGCAGGCCUUGACGGUAUCUCCUUAGCAAGCACCGGCUAACUCCGUGCCAGCAGCCGCGGUAAUACGGAGGGUGCAAACGUUGCUCGGAAUCAUUGGGCGUAAAGCGCACGUAGGCUGCCCGACAAGUUGGGUGUGAAAACCCUGGGCUCAACCCAGGAAGUGCAUCCAAAACUGGCGGGCUUGAAUCUCGGAGGGGGUCGGAGAAUUCCCGGUGUAGAGGUGAAAUUCGUAGAUAUCGGGAGGAAUACCAGUGGCGAAGGCGCCGACCUGGACGAAGAUUGACGCUGAGGUGCGAAAGCGUGGGGAGCAAACAGG